UGACAGGUCAAUGUACAUCAACUGAUGAUUGUUGGAGAAAUCCAUCACAUUUCCCUUCAAGGAAUUGUUCUUGAAGCUCAGAAUAGACAACUCUGUAAGGCUGAAGAAUGAUUUGACAUCAACUUUCCCGGGAAAACCAAUCCAGUUAUCAUUCAGAAAAGGGUCAUUGAAAGUGGCCUUCAGGCCAUUAAGAUCAUCUUGAGCCAUGACAAGCUUGUUCGACUGUGCAGCAAGAAGAACAGCAAAGAGAAUUUGCUCAAGAACAAGAAGUGGAAACCCCAUGAGAUUCAAAUUGAAAGCAGUGUAAGUUGCUCUGUGACAUGAGACCCGAUCACAAGUAAAAAUGACCUCAUUGAAUUGAGAGAUAUUCCCGUAUGUGCUCCAGGACAGCUAAACUAAUCCUGGUUUUUCGAAGAUAACAAGAGAAUCUAACCACGCAUUAUUCUCCUGCGAUUACAAGGGAGUGUUGUCGUGCAUAUGAACCAGAAGAUAAUGAUGUUUGGCUUUAUCUUUUACUGUAGGCCUUCAAAAUAUGGUGUGUUUUUAUAUUUCCUAGGAAGGCUAAUAUUGUCUUGGUUUGCUGUGCAGUUCAUGUGUAAACAUUGACUGAGAAAUUCAGAUGCAAAAAUGAGCGAGACGCUCCAAACGUGAGAAGCAAAUUAGGCUGUCAUAGAACGUAAGCUGUAUAGUAUAUUCCUUCUCUUGUUCUUCUGUUUCUAUUUUAUUGGACCAAUUUUCUAGUCU
This is a long non-coding RNA of Prosopis cineraria, 744 nucleotides long. RefSeq lists it as uncharacterized. The record is from RefSeq and is a predicted model, not a curated record. The transcript is spliced from 2 exons. NCBI's taxonomy places the organism in Eukaryota, Viridiplantae, Streptophyta, Magnoliopsida, Fabales, Fabaceae.